GGAUUAGUAACGAACACAGGAAGAGAAAAUAUGUAGUGAAAACGAGACAAUAAUAAGCACUGACGUACUGUGAACUCGGAAGACCUAACAUUUCUUGGUUGAUUUCUUGGCCUGCGUUUGCCAUACUUCAAGCACAAAGGAUUGUACGUGCAUUUAUAUGUCUAUUUAGGAGAGGAGGGUUUCGAUAUAGGUUUUCAUUGUUUUAAUUUAUGAUUUCUAACUUUCACAUUCUGAACUUAGUGUCUUUUUUGUUGUUAGGGAUGAGGGAUUGAUAAUUAAAAUGUACCAAUGAUGACGUCUUAUGGGGGGAAGUAUUAACACUUGAAAUGAAGCAGUACAGUCUAUUUUUUUUUCAACAGAUAUCGGAGUUGUUCAUUUAUUUAUUCUUUGGUUGUUUGUUUGAUUAUUUGUGUUAGUAAAGUACGACUGCUUCAACCUGAUUGUUUUUUGUUGUUGUUAUAGCAUCGACUAGUGUAGAGUGUGAAACGUGUUACAUCUUCAUCAGAGAACACAAUAAAUAAAUUUCCAACUAUAUUUACAUCAUUUCAAAAAUAAUCAUUAAAAUGAAAAGCUUCACACAUAUGUACGGUUGUUUUUGUUGUCAAUGAAUAUCUUAUCUAUUCUUUGUAAAUUAACUGCAACGCUGAAUGCCCCAAGCCUCUUUUGAUUUAUUUUAAUAAUAAGUAUCCUAACAAUUUAAAAGUUUGUUUUAGAUUAUUUGGUUUUAUUGGACUUCUUGAUUAUAUUUUUGAAAAAAUUUAGACGGGUAAUUUGUUAUAUAAAAUAUAUUGUACGCCUUAUAUUCAAAACAUAUAGUAGUUGCGCCGCCAUUAUUUUUCAAAUCGUUAUAGACUGCGUUGGUUUUAAAGAAGGUGAUAAAUUCUGCAAAGCUAUUCUAAAUUCAUUAUGAGGCCAUCUCAUAAGAGAACCAACAAAUUAAGUUGCUUCAGACAGUGAUUUAAACUACGGUUAGAUUAUGUAUACUCAGUCCAAUAUUUGUACUAGUACUAGUGCAAUAUAAAUAUGGAGUUUACCAUGCAAAUAAGUUUACUUAAGGGUAUCUUAAUAACAGCUUCGAAGUUCAAGCUAAAUUACAUUGAUGUCGUUUUUGUGGAUUGAUUAAAAUAAACUCUUUGAAUUGAAUUAUAAUAAGGCUUGAGCAUGUUCAUAUAUUUCCGUUUUAAUGAUGAAAACUAAUAACAUAGAUGAGAAAGUUUAAGUUUUAUAAAUUUCAAUUUCUAUUUCCGUCCUCCUUCAUUCGCCAAUGAUACAAUGUUUCCGCUUCUCAUGGAAUUUACUCUUUUCUUAUAAAUCGAUGUUUUAACCAAAUAUUAAUAAAUAAAAGUUACUAUACCAUGUUUCCAUAUGGUUAAGAAUUUCUGUUCUUGAAAUUUACACUUUUUUGUUUGAUUUAAGCAUACCUUAAUAUGAAAG
RNAcentral lists this long non-coding RNA (1434 nucleotides) under Mytilus galloprovincialis (Mediterranean mussel). Lineage: Eukaryota; Metazoa; Mollusca; Bivalvia; Mytilida; Mytilidae. The record is from RNAcentral.